This 253-nucleotide ribosomal RNA is filed under the name uncultured bacterium. RNAcentral describes it as "partial 16S ribosomal RNA". It matches the Rfam family "Bacterial small subunit ribosomal RNA", at positions 524 to 776 of the family's 1533-position model. The record is from RNAcentral. RNAcentral also lists the same sequence under 2 other names.
UACGUAGGGUCCGAGCGUUGUCCGGAAUUAUUGGGCGUAAAGAGCUCGUAGGCGGCAUGUCGCGUCUGCUGUGAAAGACCGGGGCUUAACUCCGGUUCUGCAGUGGAUACGGGCAUGCUAGAGGUAGGUAGGGGAAACUGGAAUUCCUGGUGUAGCGGUGAAAUGCGCAGAUAUCAGGAGGAACACCGGUGGCGAAGGCGGGUUUCUGGGCCUUACCUGACGCUGAGGAGCGAAAGCAUGGGGAGCGAACAGG